This 1837-nucleotide ribosomal RNA is filed under the name human gut metagenome. RNAcentral describes it as "bacterial LSU rRNA". It matches the Rfam family "Bacterial large subunit ribosomal RNA", at positions 1101 to 2925 of the family's 2925-position model. The record is from RNAcentral.
UUGGCUCAGAAGCAGCCACCAUUUAAAGAGUGCGUAAUAGCUCACUGGUCGAGAGACGCUGCGCCGAAAAUGUCCGGGGCUCAAGCACGGAACCGAAGCUAUGGCAUGAUAGCAAUAUCAUGGGUAGGGGAGCGUUCUUAUAAGGAAGAAGCAUGACCGGAAGGACAUGUGGACAAAUAAGAAGUGAGAAUGCCGGUAUGAGUAUCGAAAAGAAAGGUGAGAAUCCUUUCCACCGAAAGCCCGAGGGUUCCUGAGCAACGAUCGUCGACUCAGGGUAAGUCGGGACCUAAGCCGAGGCGAGAAGCGUAGGCGAUGGACAACAGGUUGAAAUUCCUGUACCGGAUCAAGUCGAUCGAGCGAAGGAGCGACGCAGGAGGGCACAUGAUCGCGCGGCUGGAAGAGCGCGUCCAAGUGCGUAUGUUGCCGCAGAGGAAAACCCCUGCAGCUAAAAGCAGAGACAUGAAGGGGAGUUAAAGGAAACUUUGACGAACUCAUGGAUCCCACACUGCCAAGAAAAACUUCUAGCGAGACAAGAUCCGCCCGUACCGUAAACCGACACAGGUAGGCGGGGAGAGAAUCCUAAGGUGCGCGGGAAAACCCUCGUUAAGGAACUCGGCAAAUUGCAUCCGUAACCUAGGGAGAAGGAUGGCCCCCGGUCAGUGAAGAGCAGAAACGCUCAGAGCUAAAAGGGGCGGCAGAAAAGAGGCCCAAGCAACUGUUUACCAAAAACACAGGUGCCUGCGAAAGCGAAAGCUGAAGUAUAGGUGCUGACGCCUGCCCGGUGCCGGAAGGUUAAGGAGAGAAGUUAGCGAAAGCGAAGCAUCGAACUGAAGCCCCGGUGAACGGCGGCCGUAACUAUAACGGUCCUAAGGUAGCGAAAUUCCUUGUCGGGUAAGUUCCGACCCGCACGAAAGGUGUAACGAUUUGGGCACUGUCUCAACGAGGGACCCGGUGAAAUUGAAAUACCUGUGAAGAUGCAGGUUACCCGCGACUGGACAGAAAGACCCCAUGGAGCUUCACUGCAGCUUGAGAUUGAAUCCCGGUGACAGAUGCACAGGAUAGGUGGGAGGCGCCGAAGCAUUGCCCUAGGGCGGUGCGGAGCCGAUGUUGGGAUACCACCCUUCUGUUGCUGAGAUUCUAACGCGAGGAGUAACGACCCUGCGGACCCUCUCAGGCAGGCGGUUUGACUGGGGCGGUCGCCUCCGAAAGAGUAACGGAGGCGCCCAAAGGUUCCCUCAGGCCGGACAGAAACCGGCCGAAGAGUGCAAAGGCAGAAGGGAGCUUGACUGCGAGACCAACAAGUCGAGCAGAGACGAAAGUCGGGCUUAGUGAUCCGGUGGUACUGAGUGGAAAGGCCAUCGCUCAACGGAUAAAAGCUACCCUGGGGAUAACAGGCUAAUCUCUCCCAAGAGUCCAUAUCGACGGGGAGGUUUGGCACCUCGAUGUCGGCUCAUCACAUCCUGGGGCUGGAGUAGGUCCCAAGGGUUGGGCUGUUCGCCCAUUAAAGUGGUACGCGAGCUGGGUUCAAAACGUCGUGAGACAGUUUGGUUCAUAUCCAUCGCGGGCGCAAGAAGUUUGAGAGGAGCUGCUCCUAGUACGAGAGGACCGGAGUGGACGGAUCAACGGUGUCCCAGUUGUCACGCCAGUGGCACGGCUGGAAAGCCGCAUCCGGGAAGGAUAAACGCUGAAAGCAUCUAAGCGCGAAGCCAACCUCAAGAUGAGACUUCUCAUCAGCAAUGAGUAAGACCCCUUACAGACGAUGAGGUAGAUAGGUUAUGAGUGGAAGAGCCGCAAGGCUUGGAGCGACAUAAAACUAAUAGGUCGAGGUCUUAACUUA